This is a long non-coding RNA of Patiria miniata (bat star), 397 nucleotides long. RefSeq lists it as uncharacterized. The transcript is spliced from 3 exons. The record is from RefSeq and is a predicted model, not a curated record. Lineage: Eukaryota; Metazoa; Echinodermata; Asteroidea; Valvatida; Asterinidae.
UCCAAACAAGAAACGUGAUAAGUACCGCGAUAAUACGGCGUUCCAUCCUACAUGCUUACUGCCUCUGCCAGCAUCCUACUGUCUGAAAAAACACCAAGGACAUUUCACUAAAUGUCCAGAACUCCAGUUGACGGAGUUUGAAGGUUCUACCAAGGAUGUCAACUGUGGAGCACAUACAGGAUGCAGAGCACAGUGAUGACGUAUCACCAUGGCAACGCGUACUGCUCAACAUCACUUGAAUGAGAUUGUACCGUACCUGACAUCAUUAAUUGUAAAGAGCGCCACCUGUUGUUUGGUUAUCGAUCAACAUUAAUGCAGCAGAUAAUGUAGCGGUAGGCUAUAUAGGCCUGUACGUCAGAGUUACUUCUACAACGACGAUAGGUUCAACUACAACUAU